Molecule: unclassified non-coding RNA, 239 nt
Filed under: air metagenome
Description: partial contains small subunit ribosomal RNA, internal transcribed spacer 1, and 5.8S ribosomal RNA
Rfam family: Eukaryotic small subunit ribosomal RNA (bases 1-46)
Source: RNAcentral
AAGUCGUAACAAGGUCUCCGUAGGUGAACCUGCGGAGGGAUCAUUACCGAGUGAGGGCGCUCGCCGCCCGACCUCCCAACCCUUUGAUUUGAUCAAGACCUCCUUCUGCCUCGGGGGCGACCCGGACCUCGCGGUCCGCCGGUCCCCCCGGUGGUCACCAACCAAAACUCUGCAUCAAUUGUCGUCUGAGCGUAUUGAGAAAUCAAUCAAAACUUUCAACAACGGAUCUCUUGGUUCUG